RNAcentral lists this small nuclear RNA (107 nucleotides) under Octodon degus (degu). The record is from RNAcentral. Lineage: Eukaryota; Metazoa; Chordata; Mammalia; Rodentia; Octodontidae.
GUGCUCGCUUCGGCAGCACAUAUACUAAAAUUGGAAUGAUACAAAGAAGAUUAGCAUGGACCCAGCACACAGAUGACAUGCAAAUUUGUGAAGCGUUCCAUAUUUUU